AAAUAAUCCGUGUGUAUAGAACUACAUAAAUAAUCGGUUAAAAGAUAGUCUUAUAUUAUAUUAUAAUCUCUAUGAAACACUAUUUAGAUAAAUAUUUACUUAUAUACCUCACAAUAAAAAUAAGGGUAAAAUUCAAAAACCACCCUUGUGGUUUCGCACUUUCUCACUUUAGUACCCUGUGGUUUAAAGUGUAGCAAGUUAGUGUCCGAUGGUUUCAUUUUUAUUUUUUCGUCAGCUUUUUCGUUAAUAUUCCGUUAAAUUAUAUUCAAAAAAACUUCAGAUACCCACCCAGGUUUAUCGAAUAUUCACUUUAGUACCCUUUAGUUUUAACUUUGUCACUGAUUUAACGAAAAAAAUUAGUAAAAUCGACAAUAAAAAAAAAAAAUAAAACUACCUGGCACUAAAUUGAUACACUUUAAACCACAGAGUAAUAAAGUGAAAAAGUGUGAAACCACAUGGAUGAUAUUUAAAAUUUUUUCUAAAAAUAAUUAUGUAUUUGAUAAUUAAAACUCUCUAAAAUUUAAUUAAAACUCUCUAAAAUUUACAGUUAUAACUCUCCAAAAUUUAUUGUUUAAAUUAAAUAUGUAUAUAAAU
RNAcentral lists this long non-coding RNA (594 nucleotides) under Ananas comosus (pineapple). RNAcentral describes it as "long non-coding RNA (ACOM_LNC015378)". Lineage: Eukaryota; Viridiplantae; Streptophyta; Magnoliopsida; Poales; Bromeliaceae. The record is from RNAcentral.